RNAcentral lists this transfer RNA (73 nucleotides) under Candidatus Omnitrophota bacterium. RNAcentral describes it as "tRNA-Thr". It matches the Rfam family "tRNA". Rfam says of the family: Transfer RNA (tRNA) molecules are approximately 80 nucleotides in length. Their secondary structure includes four short double-helical elements and three loops (D, anti-codon, and T loops). Further hydrogen bonds mediate the characteristic L-shaped molecular structure. tRNAs have two regions of fundamental functional importance: the anti-codon, which is responsible for specific mRNA codon recognition, and the 3' end, to which the tRNAs corresponding amino acid is attached (by aminoacyl-tRNA synthetases). tRNAs cope with the degeneracy of the genetic code in two manners: having more than one tRNA (with a specific anti-codon) for a particular amino acid; and 'wobble' base-pairing, i.e. permitting non-standard base-pairing at the 3rd anti-codon position. The record is from RNAcentral. Lineage: Bacteria; Pseudomonadati; Candidatus Omnitrophota.
GCUGGAGUAGCUCAGUUGGCAGAGCACGUCCUUGGUAAGGACGGGGUCACGAGUUCAAUUCUCGUCUCAAGCU